AUUGGAUUGACAGAGUUUCAAUUCAGAAAUAAAGAAACAAAUGCUAAAACACCAUCAAAGAGAAAUGCAAUUCAAGCAUGUGCUGUCUGUCAUUCAGUGUCUGACACCACGUAUCGAUCUGGUGUUGUGCCGGACGCUGCUCCUUUAAGUAUCAUGCCUUUUGUAUUAUUCAGAGCUCACAAACCAAUUGGUCGUACAUGCGCCAAAACACAUAUAUGUUCU
Molecule: non-coding RNA, 222 nt
Organism: Pelobates cultripes (western spadefoot toad)
Lineage: Eukaryota; Metazoa; Chordata; Amphibia; Anura; Pelobatidae
Source: the annotation of a GenBank genome assembly